Molecule: unclassified non-coding RNA, 221 nt
Filed under: Hevea brasiliensis (rubber tree)
Lineage: Eukaryota; Viridiplantae; Streptophyta; Magnoliopsida; Malpighiales; Euphorbiaceae
Source: RNAcentral
GCUUAUAGUAGUUCAAGAGGAUCAAUACGUUUGGUAGAUAUGCGGCAGUCAGCAUUGUGCGACUCGCACUCUAAGUUGUUUGAGGAGCAGGAAACUCCUGGCUCAAGGUCCUUUUUUACCGAGAUAAUUGCUUCAAUUUCAGAUAUAAAAUUUGCAAAGGCUGGAAGAUACAUACUCAGUCGUGACUACAUGACCCUGAAGCUAUGGGAUAUAAACAUGGA